GCUGUGGCUAGCUCAGUUGGUAGAACAUGGGACUCUCAACCCCAGGGUCGUGGGUUCGAGCCCCACGUUGGGCG
Oryctolagus cuniculus (rabbit) is the source of this 74-nucleotide non-coding RNA. NCBI's taxonomy places the organism in Eukaryota, Metazoa, Chordata, Mammalia, Lagomorpha, Leporidae. The record is from the annotation of a RefSeq genome assembly.